Molecule: ribosomal RNA, 207 nt
Filed under: uncultured bacterium
Lineage: Bacteria
Description: partial 16S ribosomal RNA
Rfam family: Bacterial small subunit ribosomal RNA
Source: RNAcentral
CGUGUAGGCGGAUUGGCAAGUCAAGCGUGAAAUCCCUCGGCUCAACCGAGGAACUGCGUUCGAAACUGCCUUUCUUGAGUGUGGAAGAGGAGAGUGGAACUCCUGGUGGAGCGGUGAAAUGCGUAGAUAUCAGGAGGAACGCCGGCGGCGAAAGCGGCUCUCUGGUCCACUACUGACGCUGAGGCGCGAAAGCCAGGGUAGCGAACG